UACGGGGGGUGCGAGCGUUGUCCGGAAUCACUGGGCGUAAAGGGCGCGUAGGUGGUUUGAUAAGGGCGUGGUGAAAGCCCGGGGCUCAACCCCGGGUCGGCCGUGCCGACUGUUGAACUCGAGGGCUGUAGAGGCAGACGGAAUUCCGGGUGUAGCGGUGGAAUGCGUAGAGAUCCGGAGGAACACCAGUGGCGAAGGCGAUCACCUGGGGUUGUUCUGACGCUGAGGAGCGAAAGCUAGGGGAGCAAACGGG
RNAcentral lists this ribosomal RNA (253 nucleotides) under uncultured prokaryote. RNAcentral's name for it is "partial 16S ribosomal RNA". It matches the Rfam family "Bacterial small subunit ribosomal RNA", at positions 524 to 776 of the family's 1533-position model. The record is from RNAcentral.